This 497-nucleotide ribosomal RNA is filed under the name uncultured bacterium. RNAcentral describes it as "partial 16S ribosomal RNA". It matches the Rfam family "Bacterial small subunit ribosomal RNA", at positions 28 to 507 of the family's 1533-position model. The record is from RNAcentral.
GAUGAACGCUGGCGGCGUGCCUAAUACAUGCCAGUCGAGCGAACAGAUGAGGAGCUUGCUCCUCUGACGUUAGCGGCGGACGGGUGAGUAACACGUGGAUAACCUACCUAUAAGACUGGGAUAACUUCGGGAAACCGGAGCUAAUACCGGAUAAUAUAUUGAACCGCAUGGUUCAAUAGUGAAAGACGGUUUUGCUGUCACUUAUAGAUGGAUCCGCGCCGCAUUAGCUAGUUGGUAAGGUAACGGCUUACCAAGGCAACGAUGCGUAGCCGACCUGAGAGGGUGAUCGGCCACACUGGAACUGAGACACGGUCCAGACUCCUACGGGAGGCAGCAGUAGGGAAUCUUCCGCAAUGGGCGAAAGCCUGACGGAGCAACGCCGCGUGAGUGAUGAAGGUCUUCGGAUCGUAAAACUCUGUUAUUAGGGAAGAACAAAUGUGUAAGUAACUAUGCACGUCUUGGCGGUACCUAAUCAGAAAGCCACGGCUAACUACGUG